CUUCAGCGAGCCCAGCCACAGCGGGCUGCCGGGCUCGCGCCCCUGCCCGUAGGCGGCGAUCAGGGCCUCCGCCUC
This is a non-coding RNA of Streptomyces katrae, 75 nucleotides long. The record is from Rfam. NCBI's taxonomy places the organism in Bacteria, Bacillati, Actinomycetota, Actinomycetes, Kitasatosporales, Streptomycetaceae.